UUCUAGCCCAGAUAGAAGCGGUAUCCUUUUUAUUUUUAUCUUUCAAAAAAUAAAAAGAUACAAGCGCAUAGCUGGAUAAGGC
RNAcentral lists this small RNA (82 nucleotides) under Flavobacterium frigoris. RNAcentral's name for it is "Flavo-1 RNA". It matches the Rfam family "Flavo-1 RNA". Lineage: Bacteria; Pseudomonadati; Bacteroidota; Flavobacteriia; Flavobacteriales; Flavobacteriaceae. The record is from RNAcentral.